Molecule: non-coding RNA, 95 nt
Organism: Tribolium castaneum (red flour beetle)
Lineage: Eukaryota; Metazoa; Arthropoda; Insecta; Coleoptera; Tenebrionidae
Source: RefSeq, marked provisional
AAAAUGUUUUGGUGAAGAUUUGUUUUCUUCUUCUGCACUAUUUUAUACUUAAAAAACCGUGCGGAGAAGACAACAAGUCUUUAACAAAAUUCUUC